Molecule: long non-coding RNA, 368 nt
Filed under: Nicotiana benthamiana
Lineage: Eukaryota; Viridiplantae; Streptophyta; Magnoliopsida; Solanales; Solanaceae
Description: long non-coding RNA (NBEN_LNC034421)
Source: RNAcentral
UUAGAUUUUCAAGAGCUAAAAUUUCAUAGAAAAGAAUACAACUGAAAAACUUCUGCAGAAACACUGUUCCAUUAGAAAAUUCCUGAAAUUUUGAGAUCUGCACUAUGAAAAAAAACUUGAAUAGCUAAAGGUUAAAAUGUUUGAGUUUUGAUUGGUAUUCAUGUGCUUGGGGUCAAAUUUUGGUUGUGUUUUGAUUCUGAACUUUAUGUGAUGGGUUCAAAUCUGAUUUAAAGUGGUUAUUUCCCUUAUCAUUUCUGGGCUGAUUCUGCUGUUGAAUAUUGAUCCUGUUGCUUUUCUAUUGCUGACUCUUCAUUUUUCUGUGUUGUUUUUCAAAUUUAGGUGCACGUCUCCUGAAACUUAUACGUGUU